GAAAGUAAGCAAGGGCAGACGGUGGAUGCCUUGGCUCUCGGAGGCGAUGAAGGACGUGAUAAGCUGCGAUAAGCUUGGGGUAGGUGCAAAUAACCUUUGAUCCCAAGAUUUCCGAAUGGGGCAACCCGGCUGGUAGAAGGCCAGUCAUUCCGUAAGGAAGGCGAACGUGGGGAACUGAAACAUCUAAGUACCCAUAGGAGAAGAAAACAAAAGUGAUUCCGCAAGUAGUGGCGAGCGAACGCGGAACAGCCCAAACCGAUGAUGUUUAGGCAUUGUCGGGGUAGUAGGACCACGUUGUGGCAAGAGAUUAAGGAAGUAGAACGUUUUGGAACAAACGGCCGUAGACGGUGAAAGCCCGGUAUACGACUCUUUAACGAAGCCUAGUGGAAUCCUGAGUAGCGCGGAGCACGAGAAAUUCUGUGUGAAUCAGCGGGGCCCAUCCCGUAAGGCUAAAUACUCCCGAGAGACCGAUAGCGAACCAGUACUGUGAAGGAAAGGUGAAAAGCACCUCGAACAGAGGAGUGAAAUAGUCCCUGAAACCGUCUGCCUACAAGCGGUCGGAGCACAUUAAAGUGUGACGGCGUGCCUUUUGCAUAAUGAACCUACGAGUUACUUUCUCCGGCAAGGUUAAGGGCUUCAGGCCCGGAGCCGAAGCGAAAGCGAGUCUUAAUAGGGCGUGAUAGUCGGAGUGAGUAGACGCGAAACCAAGUGAUCUACCCUUGGUCAGGAUGAAGGUUGGGUAACACCAACUGGAGGUCCGAAUGGGUAUACGUUGAAAAGUGUUCCAAUGAACUGAGGGUAGGGGUGAAAGGCUAAUCAAACUUGGAGAUAGCUCGUACUCCCCGAAAUGCAUUUAGGUGCAGCCUUUAUUUAGUAUAGCAUGAGGUAGAGCGACUGAUUGGAUGCGAGGGCUUCACCGCCUAUCAAGUCCAGAUAAACUCCGAAUGCGUGCUAUAUAUUGAUAAGGAGUGAGGGCGCGGGUGCUAAGGUCCGCGUCCGAGAGGAGAAGAAUCCAGACCAUCAGCUAAGGUCCCCAAAUAACAGUUAAGUUGAACUAACGAAGUCGGACUGCAGAGACAGCUAGGAUGUUGGCUUGGAAGCAGCCAUUCAUUUAAAGAGUGCGUAACAGCUCACUAGUCGAGGAGUCCGGCGUGGAUAAUACUCGGGCAUAAACUGUUUACCGAAGCUAUGGAUGUAGAAAUACAUGGUAGGGGAGCAUUCCAACGGCGUCGAAGGUGAAGGAUGACCUUUGCUGGAGCUUUUGGAAACGCAAAUGUAGGUAUAAGUAACGAUAAAGGAGGUGAGAAACCUCCUCGCCGAAAGACUAAGGUUUCCUGAUCAACGUUAAUCGGAUCAGGGUAAGUCGGGACCUAAGGUUAAGCCGAACGGCGAUACCGAUGGAAGAAUGGUUUAAUAUUCCCAUACUACUUUAUGGAGCGAUGUGGAGACGGAGAAGUGAAAGUCCUGCCAUCUGACGGAAUAGGUGGUUGAAGAGUGUAGAUGUAGAUUCCUGUAGGCAAAUCCGCAGGGAGAGUCGACCUUGACAGUAUGCCGCGUGCUUGCACAAGGCAAAAUGGACGUAAUCAGGCUCCCAAGAAAAUCCGCUAAGCAUAUUCAUAAAGUACCCGUACCGUAAACGGACACACGUAGUUGGGUUGAAAAUACUGAGGCGCUCGAGUGAUUCACGGUUAAGGAACUAGGCAAAUUGACCCUGUAACUUCGGGAUAAAGGGUCCCUACUGAGAGGUAGGGCGCAGAGAAUAGGUCCAGGCAACUGUUUAACAAAAACACAUGGCUGUGCGAAAUAGAAAUAUGAAGUAUACAGCCUGACACCUGCCCGGUGCUGGAAGGUUAAGAGGAGAGCUCAUCGCAAGAGAAGGCUUGAAUUGAAGCCCCAGUAAACGGCGGCCGUAACUAUAACGGUCCUAAGGUAGCGAAAUUCCUUGUCGGGUAAGUUC
RNAcentral lists this ribosomal RNA (1957 nucleotides) under human gut metagenome. RNAcentral describes it as "bacterial LSU rRNA". It matches the Rfam family "Bacterial large subunit ribosomal RNA", at positions 1 to 1983 of the family's 2925-position model. The record is from RNAcentral.